RNAcentral lists this ribosomal RNA (271 nucleotides) under uncultured Staphylococcus sp. RNAcentral describes it as "partial 16S ribosomal RNA". It matches the Rfam family "Bacterial small subunit ribosomal RNA", at positions 90 to 355 of the family's 1533-position model. The record is from RNAcentral. Lineage: Bacteria; Bacillati; Bacillota; Bacilli; Caryophanales; Staphylococcaceae.
CGUUAGCGGCGGACGGGUGAGUAACACGUGGGUAACCUACCUAUAAGACUGGGAUAACUUCGGGAAACCGGAGCUAAUACCGGAUAAUAUUUCGAACCGCAUGGUUCGAUAGUGAAAGAUGGUUUUGCUAUCACUUAUAGAUGGACCUGCGCCGUAUUAGCUAGUUGGUAAGGUAACGGCUUACCAAGGCGACGAUACGUAGCCGACCUGAGAGGGUGAUCGGCCACACUGGAACUGAGACACGGUCCAGACUCUACGGGAGGCAGCAGUC